CCCACACAUCACUUGGCUAGGUAGAAUCAAUGUCCUUAAAAUGAAAGCACUACCCAGAUUUUUGUAUCUUCUCCAGACCCUAACAUUAGCUAUACCCCACGGGUUCUUCUCCUCAAUUCGCAGAUCCUUCAAUCAAUACGUUUGGCACAGACGGUAGGCGAGACUGAGCUACGAGAUCCUCACCCAAUCCAAACAACGGGGGGGUUGGGCUCACCAGACCUUGCCAAAUACAGCCAUGCAGUACACAUGCAGAGGAUCAUAGAGUGGACUCACUCCACCCCCUCCCUGAGAAACUCUGGAUUGCAAUAGUAC
This is a non-coding RNA of Pelobates cultripes (western spadefoot toad), 312 nucleotides long. The record is from the annotation of a GenBank genome assembly. Lineage: Eukaryota; Metazoa; Chordata; Amphibia; Anura; Pelobatidae.